GAUGAAGAACGCAGCGAAAUGCGAUACGUAGUGUGAAUUGCAGAAUUCAGUGAAUCAUCGAAUCUUUGAACGCACAUUGCGCCCUUUGGUAUUCCAAAGGGCAUGCCUGUUCGAGCGUCAUUUGUACCUUCAAGCUUUGCUUGGUGUUGGGCGUUUUUUGUCUCCCUCUUUCUGGGAGACUCGCCUUAAAACGAUUGGCAGCCGGCCUACUGGUUUCGGAGCGCAGCACAUAUUUUGCGCUUUGUAUCAGGAGAAAAGGACGGUAAUCCAUCAAGCCUCUACAUUUUUAACUUUUGACCUCGGAUCAGGUAGGGAUACCCGCUGAACUUAAGCAUAUCAAUAAGCGGAGGA
This 351-nucleotide unclassified non-coding RNA is filed under the name soil metagenome. RNAcentral's name for it is "partial contains 5.8S ribosomal RNA, internal transcribed spacer 2, and large subunit ribosomal RNA". The stretch from base 1 to 120 matches the Rfam family "5.8S ribosomal RNA", at positions 35 to 154 of the family's 154-position model. The record is from RNAcentral.